ACAUAUGAAUCUAAGAGCACAAAGAGAACACCAAGAAGCCCUAUAGAAUAACAUAAACAAAACGGCAUCAGACAUGUAUCAGAUCAAAUAUAGCAAAAAGGACAGCAAAUGAAUAAUGGCAUCAUAGAGCAUCGAAUGAAUGAACGCUCGAGCUUGUUAGAUGUCUCCUCAUCGACUUCACACCCAAACCCGAAAUAGCUAGUUUCAAAAUCAUAGUGACACACUCACACAAUGAAUUUUAUAAGUGAAAUUCUAUUACUGAUUUUUCCAGCAUCCCCCUUCCAUACCACCUCUUUGAAAAUGUUAGAUCUAAGAUAUGGUCGUGAGAAUGAUAUAACAGAUUAAUCUAUUGUCACAGCGUUGAUAUACCUUGUACUCGUUCUUGGGGGUUUCGUAACCUGAGAAGAGCAUCUGAGCUACAAGCACCUGGUUGGCGAUGUCCCCUUUCCGAGCCUCCUUUUACGCGUCCUGGAACCAGCGCACAGUCGCCGACCACCUCUGACGGCGGCUUCCACUCACACUUCGACCAGUAGGAUCCAUUAGACAUAGCAUAGUACUCGGUGCACCUGGGUUCCAGAGCUCAACGGUGCCGACGAAUCUGUCCCUGUGAAGAUACAUGGCCAUCUAUCUGCAUGUUCACAUUGUAUAUUGGGGUUAAAAUCAACCAAGCAGCAACAUAAAUGCUCAAGAGAUAGAAAAUAGAUGCUCAAACAUCUGUUGAAAAACUACAUAUGCUCAAACAUCCCGAACAGUGGGCGGCCCUUUGAUGUCACAAAAUCAAGCCCUCUGGCACAGAGCUGAAGCAACAGUUCUUUACCAACAUGAUCACAUCACAACUUGAAAGAGGGAAGGCGCCCAAUUACAGGAUCUAUCAUCUGAAGCGGUCACAAUAGAACAACUUCUUAAAUCAAUUCCAAAGCUGCAAUUGUUCCCUUAGAUGAAACACAACUGAAAAGGUACAACGAGUAACAAGUUUAGUAGUUAC
Molecule: long non-coding RNA, 985 nt
Filed under: Sorghum bicolor (sorghum)
Lineage: Eukaryota; Viridiplantae; Streptophyta; Magnoliopsida; Poales; Poaceae
Description: long non-coding RNA (SBIC_LNC011869)
Source: RNAcentral